GACUCGGUAGCUUAGGUGGAAAAGCACUUGCCUAGCGUAUAAGGGUCGUGAGUUCUAAUCUCACCUGAGCUG
This is a non-coding RNA of Aedes albopictus (Asian tiger mosquito), 72 nucleotides long. The record is from Rfam. Lineage: Eukaryota; Metazoa; Arthropoda; Insecta; Diptera; Culicidae.